UGCGAGGGGGGCGAGCGUUGUUCGGAAUCACUGGGCGUAAAGAGUGCGUAGGCGGUUAUGAAAGUUAGGAGUGAAAGCCCCGGGCUCAACCUGGGAAUUGCUCUUAAUACUCCAUGACUUGAAUUCGGGAGAGGAUAGCGGAAUUGUCAGUGUAGCAGUGAAAUGCGUAGAUAUUGACAGGAACACCAGUGGCGUAAGCGGCUAUCUGGACCGACAUUGACGCUGAGGCACGAAAGCGUGGGGAUCAAACAGG
RNAcentral lists this ribosomal RNA (253 nucleotides) under uncultured bacterium. Its description in RNAcentral is "partial 16S ribosomal RNA". It matches the Rfam family "Bacterial small subunit ribosomal RNA", at positions 524 to 776 of the family's 1533-position model. The record is from RNAcentral.